GCGCACUUAGAUCAGUGGUUAAAACACCCUUCUAGAGUUCGGGAAAACAGGUCACAGGUUUGAGUCCUGUAGUGCACA
RNAcentral lists this transfer RNA (78 nucleotides) under Cronartium ribicola 11-2. RNAcentral's name for it is "tRNA-Ser (AGA) (tRNA-Ser-AGA-92-1)". It matches the Rfam family "tRNA". Rfam says of the family: Transfer RNA (tRNA) molecules are approximately 80 nucleotides in length. Lineage: Eukaryota; Fungi; Basidiomycota; Pucciniomycetes; Pucciniales; Coleosporiaceae. The record is from RNAcentral.